RNAcentral lists this ribosomal RNA (580 nucleotides) under Navicula cryptocephala. RNAcentral's name for it is "eukaryotic LSU rRNA". It matches the Rfam family "Eukaryotic large subunit ribosomal RNA", at positions 364 to 1006 of the family's 3401-position model. The record is from RNAcentral. RNAcentral also lists the same sequence under 2 other names. Lineage: Eukaryota; Bacillariophyta; Bacillariophyceae; Naviculales; Naviculaceae.
AUGCAAAGAACUUUGAAAAGAGAGUUAAAGAGUACCUGAAAUUGCUGAAAGGGAAGCGAAGGAAACCAGUGCCAGCUGAGUCAUAUUUCUCCCUCCACUUGUGGAGUGGGCGCUGUGUCUUGGCCUCUGUCAGGCUUGGUUGGGUUGGCUGGAAUUGUGCUAGGAGAGUUGAUCCUGGUGUGUCUGCAGCUGGCCCGACUGAGGUUGACAAAAUGGUUUUCUUUACCCCGUCUUGAAACACGGACCAAGGAGUCUAACAUAUGUGCGAGUGCAGGGGUGGCAAACCCCGGCGCGUAAUGAAAGUGACAGUGGUUGGACCUUUGUGGCACAAUCCGCCGGCCCUAAUUCUACGGAAGAAUGGUCUGAGUGUGAGCACACAUGUUGGGACCCGAAAGAUGUGUGAACUAUGCUUGAGUAGGGUGAAGCCAGGGGAAACUCUGGUGGAGGCUCGUAGCGAUUCUGACGUGCAAAUCGAUCGUCAAACUUGAGUAUAGGGGCGAAAGACUAAUCGAACCAUCUAGUAGCUGGUUCCCUCCGAAAUUUCCCUCAGGAUAGCUGCAAUCGAAUGUCAAUUUUAUCA